UUCGUUGUGUUGUAACAGAAACAG
This 24-nucleotide transfer RNA is filed under the name Pritchardia mitiaroana. RNAcentral describes it as "partial tRNA-Asp". Lineage: Eukaryota; Viridiplantae; Streptophyta; Magnoliopsida; Arecales; Arecaceae. The record is from RNAcentral.